Molecule: long non-coding RNA, 1440 nt
Organism: Cyprinus carpio carpio
Lineage: Eukaryota; Metazoa; Chordata; Actinopteri; Cypriniformes; Cyprinidae
Source: Ensembl
AAAAGAUAAUUCUAUAAUGCUUACCUCCUGCAUUACAACAUCUACAAGGACAUUAUUAUGCGGAUGGUUUACUGUAUUUACAGCGGCGUUUCGCGAUCAAAGCACCAAAUAACUUUCUGUUCCUCUCGCGAUAACACACUUCUGACGACAGACACCUCACAAUUGCCGCGAAUAAGAUAUUAUGUGAAAAAGUGACAGAUAACGUACAUGUUGAGGUAGUCUGCCUACAGACGAAACAAGAAAUCGAGUCAAACAUUAAAAUAGAGAUUAAAGGCGCAGCUGGUUAAAGUUAUGAAACCCGUGUACCGUCAUUAAAACCAACCAAAAUGCAGAAAACGCUAUGACAACAAUCUACUGUAAUUUAAGGCCCAUCCACCACACUAACAGAAGGUCAAGAGUGACCGUGCUGAUUAAGCUGGAUCUUCUAAACAUAUUUUUAGCUAACUGCCUCAACACAUCCGGUUUACUGACACAGGCAUCUGAAGGAAACUCUAUCGUCCCCUGGAGUACUGAGGGAAUUUGAGAGUGUGUGGAGGCCCGGGGCGAAGGCUGUCUCUGCACAUGAUCGUCCGCAACUAAUACAUCCCACAAGUGCACAUGAGUGUGAUGGAGCCCCUGCCCAUAUUACUGUGGAAACAGGUGCUUUCUGCAGCCCAGCAGAUGUCCCACAACGCUGCUGUGGAAACGGCCUCUCAAUAGCCAUGCACAGAAACAAUGCAUGAUGCCCUGCCAAGGUGGUCCGACUUCUGUUUAUCGUUGACGCAGAUCUGUAUGAGUCAGAUGAGAGUUGGCGUCCUCCGGCCAGCUCAAGGUGACAGAGACGCAUGGUCAUCGAUCCCUGUCUCGCCUCCUCUCUGUUAUCAAAAUGUAACAUCAUUAUCUCCUACCCUUUGACCCCUUCUGAUGGACACAGGUGACAGCAGUGCUUACAUCAGCACAGCGAGGUGAGGAGGGUCAUUAUUAUCACAUUAUUCUCAUCCUCUCAUCACCCAGGAGUCUGUCUGUGUGUGAUCGUGUCUGCUGGGAGUCCUGGUGUAGAUCAACACAUCUUCCAAUGCACUAGGAAGAGAGCACACUUCUCUCAACACCACACAGGAAGUCUUGGCUGCUCUGACGUCAAUCAGGGAGUUUCUCCUCACCGAUUGGCUGAUUCUUACUUUUCUGAGUGCCAGGGGACGAUGCCAGCGGGACAGGAAGUUGGUGUAGGUGGAGUGAAGUUGCCCAAAGCUCACGGGUUUGAUUUGAGGUGAUGCUUUGUGGACAAGAACAUCUGUUUCAUGCCUUGAAUGUAAAUGCAAAAUAAAGCAAAAUGCAUACAGACUGACAUGCAGGCCUGAGACAGAGAUGAAGGGCCUGUUAUGUCAAUUAACCAACCCGACCCAUGUGCUUGGCUGCGAUUCAAGGUUGCACGGGAGGAGUUCAACUGCUUAAAGGGAAGGC